CGUAGGACCCAAGCGUUAUCCGGAGUGACUGGGCGUAAAGAGUUGCGUAGGUGGCUUGUAAAGUGAAUAGUGAAAUCUGGGGGCUCAACCUCACAGGCUAUUAUUCAAACUCACAAGCUCGAGAGUAGCAGAGGUAACUGGAAUUUCUGAAGUAGGGGUAAUAUCCGUAGAUAUCAGAAGGAACACCAAUGGCGUAGGCAGGUUACUGGGCUAUUUCUGACACUGAGGCACGAAAGCGUGGGAGCGAACCGGAUU
RNAcentral lists this ribosomal RNA (255 nucleotides) under uncultured bacterium. RNAcentral's name for it is "partial 16S ribosomal RNA". It matches the Rfam family "Bacterial small subunit ribosomal RNA", at positions 526 to 779 of the family's 1533-position model. The record is from RNAcentral.